GACGAACGCUGGCGGCGUGCCUAACACAUGCAAGUCGAACGGAACGGCCUUGAUUGCUUUCUUCGGAAUGGAUUCGAUUUAGUUUAGUGGCGGAGGGGUACGUAACUCGUGAGUAACCUGCCUUCAAGAGGGGAAGAGCAUUCUGAAAAGAAUGCUAAUACCGCAGGACAUAUGGGAACCACAUGGUUUUGGUAUCAAAUAUUUUAUCGCUUGAAGAUGGGCUCGCGUCGGUUUAGUUAGUUGGUGAGGUAACGGCUCACCCAGACGGCGAUCGGUGGCCGGACUGGGAGGUUGGACGGCCACGUUGGGACUGAGACACGGCCCAGACUCCUGCGGGAGGCAGCAGUGGGGGAUAUUGCGCAAUGGGGGCAAGCCUGACGCAGCAACGCCGCGUGAAGGAGGACGGUUUUCGGAUUGUAAACUUCUUUUAUUAAGGACGAAAAAUGACGGUACUUAAUGAAUAAGCACCGGCUAACUACGUG
RNAcentral lists this ribosomal RNA (482 nucleotides) under uncultured bacterium. RNAcentral's name for it is "partial 16S ribosomal RNA". It matches the Rfam family "Bacterial small subunit ribosomal RNA", at positions 28 to 507 of the family's 1533-position model. The record is from RNAcentral.